Molecule: ribosomal RNA, 496 nt
Filed under: uncultured bacterium
Lineage: Bacteria
Description: bacterial SSU rRNA
Rfam family: Bacterial small subunit ribosomal RNA
Source: RNAcentral
GAUGAACGUUGGCGGUGUGCCUAAUACAUGCAAGUCGAACGGUGACGAUUUUGUAGUAAUACGAAUGAAAUCACAGUGGCGAACGGGUGAGUAACGCGUUGGUGAUCUGCCUCGAAGUGUGGAAUAACGCUCCGAAAGGAGCGCUAAUACCGCAUGUGCUCUCGAUGUUUAGAAAGUUGAGAGUAAAGGAUUUAUUCGCUUCGAGAGGAGCCUGCGUCCCAUCAGCUGGUUGGUAGGGUAACGGCCUACCAAGGCAAUGACGGGUAGGGGACCUGAGAGGGUGGCCCCCCACAAUGGAACUGAAACACGGUCCAUACACCUACGGGUGGCAGCAGUAGGGAAUAUUAGAAAUGGACGAAAGUCUGAUCUAGCGACACCGCGUGUGCGAAGAAGGCCUUCGGGUUGUAAAGCACUUUUGGAAGGAAUAGGAAGGAAGGUACCUCCAGAAUAAGUCUCGGCUAACUACGUGCCAGCAGCCGCGGUAAUACGUAACGUG